UGCCCUGUGGCGCAAUUGGUUAGCGCGUCUGACUGUUAACGAAUACCAACCGUUUUCGGUAUCAGGAGGUUGUGAGUUCGAGUCUCACCGGGGCAG
Molecule: non-coding RNA, 96 nt
Organism: Tulasnella sp. 419
Lineage: Eukaryota; Fungi; Basidiomycota; Agaricomycetes; Cantharellales; Tulasnellaceae
Source: the annotation of a GenBank genome assembly